GGUGAGUAACACGUAGGUGAUCUACCUUUAUGUAGGGGAUAGCCUGUGGAAACACAGGGUAAUACCCGAUGUGACUGAUAUCUUGCGGGGUAUUGGUGAAAGGUGCUGAGGCACCGCAUAAGGAUGAGCCUGCGUCUGAUUAGUUAGUUGGUGGGGUAAAGGCCUACCAAGGCGACGAUCAGUAGCCGGCCUGAGAGGGUGACCGGCCACACUGGGACUGAGACACGGCCCAGACUCCUACGGGAGGCAGCAGCUAAGAGUCUUCCGCAAUGGGGGGAACCCUGACGGAGCGACGCCGCGUGAACGAAGAAGGCCGUGAGGUUGUAAAGUUCUUUUCUCGGAGAAGAAUAAUGUAGCGAGGGAAUGCGCUACAGAUGACAUUACCCGAGGAAUAAGCCCCGGCUAAUUACGUGCCAGCAGCCGCGGUAACACGUAAGGGGCGAGCGUUGUUUGGAUUUAUUGGGCGUAAAGGGCGUGUAGGCGGUUUUGUAAGCCUGGUGUGAAAGGCUCCGGCUUAACUGGAGUUUGCGCUGGGAACUGCAAGACUAGAGUUCAGGAGGGGAAGCUGGAAUUCCUGGUGUAGGGGUGAAAUCUGUAGAUAUCAGGAAGAACACCGGUGGCGAAGGCGAGCUUCUGGCCAUGAACUGACGCUGAGGCGCGAAAGCGUGGGGAGCGAACAGGAUUAGAUACCCUGGUAGUCCACGCUGUAAACGAUGUGCACUAGGUGUAGGGCUGUAUGAAGCUCUGUGCCGAAGCGAACGCGAUAAGUGCACCGCCUGGGGAGUAUGCUCGCAAGGGUGAAACUCAAAGGAAUUGACGGGGGCCCGCACAAGCGGUGGAGCAUGUGGUUUAAUUCGAUGAUACGCGAGGAACCUUACCAGGGUUUGACAUAUAGCGGACUGUGGCAGAGAUGUCACAUCCCUUCGGGGCCGUUAUACAGGUGCUGCAUGGCUGUCGUCAGCUCGUGCUGUGAAGUGUUGGGUUAAGUCCCGCAACGAGCGCAACUCCCUGCUGUCUGUUACCAGCAUUUAGAAUGGGGAGUCAGACGGUACUGCCGGUGUCAAACCGGAGGAAG
RNAcentral lists this ribosomal RNA (1075 nucleotides) under uncultured organism. RNAcentral's name for it is "bacterial SSU rRNA". It matches the Rfam family "Bacterial small subunit ribosomal RNA", at positions 105 to 1172 of the family's 1533-position model. The record is from RNAcentral.